Molecule: unclassified non-coding RNA, 418 nt
Filed under: soil metagenome
Description: partial contains 5.8S ribosomal RNA, internal transcribed spacer 2, and large subunit ribosomal RNA
Rfam family: 5.8S ribosomal RNA (bases 1-120)
Source: RNAcentral
GAUGAAGAACGCAGCGAAAUGCGAUAAGUAAUGUGAAUUGCAGAAUUCAGUGAAUCAUCGAAUCUUUGAACGCAUCUUGCGCUCCUUGGUAUUCCUUGGAGCAUGCCUGUUUGAGUAUCAUGAGCAAAUCUCAAAGUCAAUUCCUUUUGUUAAUUCAAUUUGGUUUUGCUUUGGACUUGGAGGUCUUGCAGAUUUCACAGUCUGCUCCUCUUAAAUGCAUUAGCUGGAUCUCAGUAAUUAUGCUUGGUUCCACUCGGCGUGAUAAGUAUCACUCGCUGAGGACACUGUUAAAAAGGUGGCCAGGAAAAUACUGAUUGAACCGCUUCUAACGGUCUAUUAAGUUAGACAAUUACCCUUAAGUUUGAUCUCAAAUCAGGUAGGACUACCCGCUGAACUUAAGCAUAUCAUAAGCGGAGGA